CUUGAAUAAUUUCUUACAAAUGUAUUUUAAUGUAUACCUAGUUUUUAUUUUGUCACGAAGCAUGCUGUUUAUUUUUACGUAAAACAUUUGCGAUACAAUUUUCUAUUAAUUAUAUGCGAUUAUUGGUUAAUUUGCUUAUAAUUUAUGUAUUUUUAUAAAAUUAUAUUUCCUAUUUAAUAAUUCUGAAUUGCAUGAAGGAUUUCUUUGCUCGCAAUUAGUUGAGAUUGAAAUACGAUAAAAAAAACAAGGGAAUUGAUUACUGCGAUAAUAAUUGAGCAUUUCUUAAUUAAUCGAGAUGUAUGGACUAUCAUUGGAAUAAGCUUACUACUAAGUAUUUAUAUAAAUAUUUUAUACCGAUGGUUGGGUUUAUUUAUAUAAAACCUAACAACGUAAAGAAGCUGUGUUCAAUCGAAUUUAUAGAACGAAAAAGCCCAUCUUCUGAAAAAU
RNAcentral lists this unclassified non-coding RNA (447 nucleotides) under Bombus terrestris (buff-tailed bumblebee). RNAcentral's name for it is "misc RNA ENSBTSG00005025514.1". The record is from RNAcentral. Lineage: Eukaryota; Metazoa; Arthropoda; Insecta; Hymenoptera; Apidae.